RNAcentral lists this ribosomal RNA (275 nucleotides) under uncultured bacterium. RNAcentral describes it as "partial 16S ribosomal RNA". It matches the Rfam family "Bacterial small subunit ribosomal RNA", at positions 338 to 630 of the family's 1533-position model. The record is from RNAcentral.
CCUACGGGUGGCUGCAGCAAGGAAUUUUCGUCAAUGGGGGCAACCCUGAACGAGCAACGCCGCGUGGAGGAUGACGGCCUUCGGGUUGUAAACUCCUUUUCCGAGGGACGAUUGUGACGGUACCUCGGGAAUCAGGCUCGGCUAACUCUGUGCCAGCAGCCGCGGUAAGACAGAGGAGCCAAGCGUUGUCCGGAUUGACUGGGCGUAAAGGGUCCGCAGGCGGCUGAGCACGUGGGGUGUGAAAGCGGGCGGCUUAACUGCCCGAGGCCACCUCA